This 334-nucleotide unclassified non-coding RNA is filed under the name soil metagenome. RNAcentral's name for it is "partial contains 5.8S ribosomal RNA, internal transcribed spacer 2, and large subunit ribosomal RNA". The stretch from base 1 to 120 matches the Rfam family "5.8S ribosomal RNA", at positions 35 to 154 of the family's 154-position model. The record is from RNAcentral.
GAUGAAGAACGCAGCGAAAUGCGAUAAGUAGUGUGAAUUGCAGAAUUCAGUGAAUCAUCGAAUCUUUGAACGCACAUUGCGCCCUGGGGUAUUCCCCAGGGCAUGCCUGUUCGAGCGUCAUUUCCACACUCAAGCCCUGCUUGGUGUUGGGCGUCUGUCCCCCCUCGGGGGGACUCGCCUCAAAUCCAUUGGCGGCCGGUACGUUGGCUUCGAGCGCAGCACAUUUGCGAACCUCGAGCCCGGCGUGGCGAGCUCCCAGAAGCGAACUCACGAUUUUGACCUCGGAUCAGGUAGGGAUACCCGCUGAACUUAAGCAUAUCAAUAAGCGGAGGAA